This 468-nucleotide ribosomal RNA is filed under the name uncultured bacterium. Its description in RNAcentral is "partial 16S ribosomal RNA". It matches the Rfam family "Bacterial small subunit ribosomal RNA", at positions 28 to 507 of the family's 1533-position model. The record is from RNAcentral.
GACGAACGCUGGCGGCGUGCUUAACACAUGCAAGUCGAACGGAAAGGCCCUGCUUUUGUGGGGUGCUCGAAUGGCGAACGGGUGAGUAACACGUGAGUAACCUGCCCUUGACUUUGGGAUAACUUCAGGAAACUGGGGCUAAUACCGGAUAGGAGCUCCUGCUGCAUGGUGGGGGUUGGAAAGUUUCGGCGGUUGGGGAUGGACUCGCGGCUUAUCAGCUUGUUGGUGGGGUAGUGGCUUACCAAGGCUUUGACGGAUAGCCGGCCUGAGAGGGUGACCGGCGACAUUGGGACUGAGAGACGGCCCAGAGUCCUACGGGAGGCAGCAGUGGGGAAUAUUGCACAAUGGGAGGAAGCGUGAUGAAGCAACGCCGCGUGCGGGAUGCCGGCCUUCGGGUUGUAAACCGCUUUAGCCUGUGACGAAGCGUGAGUGACGGUAAUGGGUAAAGAAGCACCGGCUAACUACGUG